Lonchura striata (white-rumped munia) is the source of this 636-nucleotide non-coding RNA. The record is from RefSeq and is a predicted model, not a curated record. Lineage: Eukaryota; Metazoa; Chordata; Aves; Passeriformes; Estrildidae.
UGGGGUGCAGAAACAGGCUGGACAUGGGGCAGAGAAGCCAUGCUGGUACCUGGAUUCCAGGGUGUCACUGUGGCCAGGAUUAGGGGCAGUGGGAAAGGCUGGCAGUCGUGCAGGGCUGGAGGUAAACGGAUCAAGCAGCAAUUGGCAGGCUCAGCAAGGGGAGGCUUAGCCCAACCCAGCACAGAUUUGCUGUCGUCGCUCUGGAGCUGGGGCAGAGCUGUGGGUGGAGCACCCUUGGCACAUCACCUUGUGUCACCCCACGGGGUUCAGCAGCUCCACUGCUGCUGCUCUGCACAUCCUGCACCCACCUGCACUUGGGUGAGACGACUGCCUUCCCCACAGCGCUGCCGGACGUGGAGACGGAAGGACACCAAGGAGCUGCUCAGGAGACAGCUCAGUGAGCAGCUGGUGCUCCCUGGGCAGUGUGCAGCCCUGCUGCUGGGCUCCUGCCAGCUGGACACCCCUCGGCGCUGCCCGCAGCCAGCGGGAUGAUGGGCUGGAUUGACCGGGUGGUCCCCCAGCCCCCGGUGCCCCAUGUGACAGAGGAGACCCCUGUGCAGGAGCUGCAGCCAGCUCAGGCACCAACAGGAAAGGCCGGUGGCCCCACAGAUGCUGCAGAGCGGGCACGCACUGAGG